RNAcentral lists this unclassified non-coding RNA (276 nucleotides) under uncultured fungus. RNAcentral's name for it is "sequence contains ITS2". The stretch from base 1 to 52 matches the Rfam family "5.8S ribosomal RNA", at positions 103 to 154 of the family's 154-position model. Lineage: Eukaryota; Fungi. The record is from RNAcentral.
AACGCACCUUGCGCUCUUUGGUAUUCCGAAGAGCAUGCCUGUUUGAGUGUCAUGAAAUCAUCAAUCCGACUUCGCUUUUUUGUGUAAGCUCGGACUUGGAUUUGGAGGUUUUUGCUGGCUUUCCGUCGGCUCCUCUUGAAUGCAUUAGCUGGACUCCGUCGCGGUUCGCGGUGUGAUAACUUAUUCACCCUUGGAUUUCGAAGGUAGACCGGCUUCUAAAAACCCACCUUUUGACCAUCUGGCCUCAAAUCAGGUAGGACUACCCGCUGAACUUAA